This 584-nucleotide ribosomal RNA is filed under the name uncultured bacterium. RNAcentral's name for it is "partial 16S ribosomal RNA". It matches the Rfam family "Bacterial small subunit ribosomal RNA", at positions 355 to 1375 of the family's 1533-position model. The record is from RNAcentral.
UGGGGAAUUUUGGACAAUGGGCGAAAGCCUGAUCCAGCAAUGCCGCGUGUGUGAAGAAGGCCUUCGGGUUGUAAAGCACUUUUGUCCGGAAAGAAAUCCUUGGCUCUAAUACAGUCGGGGGAUGACGGUACCGGAAGAAUAAGCACCGGCUAACUACGUGCCAGCAGCCGCGGUAAUACGUAGGGUGCAAGCGUUAAUCGGAAUUACUGGGCGUAAAGCGUGCGCAGGCGGUCUGCUAAGACCGAUGUGAAAUCCCCGGGCUCAACCUGGGAACUGCAUUGGUGACUGGCAGGCUAGAGUAUGGCAGAGGGGGGUAGAAUUCCACGUGUAGCAGUGAAAUGCGUAGAGAUGUGGAGGAAUACCGAUGGCGAAGGCAGCCCCCUGGGCCAAUACUGACGCUCAUGCACGAAAGCGUGGGGAGCAAACAGGAUUAGAUACCCUGGUAGUCCACGCCCUAAACGAUGUCAACUAGUUGUUGGGGAUUCAUUCCUUAGUAACGUAGCUAACGCGUGAAGUUGACCGCCUGGGGAGUACGGUCGCAAGAUUAAAACUUAAAUGAAUUGACGGGGUCAUAGCUGUUUCCU